UGCUAGUGGAGCCAUGUGGCAUUGUC
Molecule: small RNA, 26 nt
Filed under: Bombyx mori (domestic silkworm)
Lineage: Eukaryota; Metazoa; Arthropoda; Insecta; Lepidoptera; Bombycidae
Description: ovarian small RNA-34116
Source: RNAcentral